UGUGCAAUGAGGAUAAUAUAUCCAUUGAUAGUCCAUGAUGACUAUAUACGCUAUUCUGAGCCAUGG
RNAcentral lists this small nucleolar RNA (66 nucleotides) under Monopterus albus (swamp eel). Its description in RNAcentral is "Small nucleolar RNA U54 (ENSMALG00000016097.1)". It matches the Rfam family "Small nucleolar RNA U54". The record is from RNAcentral. Lineage: Eukaryota; Metazoa; Chordata; Actinopteri; Synbranchiformes; Synbranchidae.